AUUGAACGCUGGCGGCAUGCCUUAUACAUGCAAGUCGAACGGCCGCGCGGGCUUCGGCCUGCUGGCGAGUGGCGAACGGGCGAGUAAUGCAUCCGUACGUGCCCUGCAGUGGGGGCUAGCAUGGCGUCAGCAGGCCUAAUCUAGUACACGACAUGAGGGUGAACGCGGGGGUUCGAAAGGCAUAGAGCGAUUGGCGCGCCCGUAGUCGGAUUAGCUAGUUGGUGAGGUAAAGGCUUACCAAGGCGACGAUCCGUAGCAGGUCUGAGAGGCCGACCUGCCACACUGGAACUGAGACACGGCCCAGACUCCUACGGGAGGCAGCAGUGGGGAAUUUUGGACAAUGGGGGCAACCCCGAUCCAGCCAUGCCGCGUGAGGGAAGAAGGCCUUCGGAUUGUAAACCUCUUUUAUUCGGGAAGAAAACCUCUGUACUAAAACCCCCAGGUGAUGACGGUACCUAAAGAGAAAGCACCGGCUAACUACGUG
Molecule: ribosomal RNA, 484 nt
Filed under: uncultured bacterium
Lineage: Bacteria
Description: partial 16S ribosomal RNA
Rfam family: Bacterial small subunit ribosomal RNA
Source: RNAcentral